UUUCCGUAGGUGAACCUGCGGAAGGAUCAUUAUUGAAACUUCAUCCGGGGCGCCGCGGCCCUCAGCACCGGUGGACACGCCGUGCCGCGGGGGCCGCGCGUGCACUCGUCCAAACCAAUCCCCUGUGAACCUUACGGGAUGGCCCGGGUUAGCGCCCGGUGCCGUUCCGCUUUAUACAAACACUUAUCAAAGAAUGAACUGAAGGCGGUCUGACCGCUGGAUAACAAACUGAAACAACUUUCAACAACGGAUCUCUUGGCUCUC
Molecule: unclassified non-coding RNA, 264 nt
Filed under: plant metagenome
Description: partial contains small subunit ribosomal RNA, internal transcribed spacer 1, and 5.8S ribosomal RNA
Source: RNAcentral